GACGAACGCUGGCGGCGUGCUUAACACAUGCAAGUGGAGCGACGAACCGGGGCUUGCCCCGGGGCAGAGCCGCGAACGGGUGAGUAACACGUGGGUUACCUGCCCUGAUGACCGGGACAACCCGUCGAAAGACGGGCUAAUACCGGAUGUGCCCGCAAGGGGAAAGGAGGCGUAAGCUUCCGCAUCGGGAUGGGCCCGCGGAGCAUUAGCUUGUUGGUGAGGUAAAAGCUCACCAAGGCUUCGAUGCUUAGCUGGUCUGAGAGGACGAUCAGCCACACUGGGACUGAGACACGGCCCAGACUCCUACGGGAGGCAGCAGUGGGAAUCUUGCGCAAUGCGCGAAAGCGUGAACGCAGCAACGCCGCGUGCGGGAAGACGGCC
This 381-nucleotide ribosomal RNA is filed under the name uncultured bacterium. Its description in RNAcentral is "bacterial SSU rRNA". It matches the Rfam family "Bacterial small subunit ribosomal RNA", at positions 28 to 416 of the family's 1533-position model. The record is from RNAcentral.